RNAcentral lists this ribosomal RNA (440 nucleotides) under uncultured bacterium. RNAcentral's name for it is "partial 16S ribosomal RNA". It matches the Rfam family "Bacterial small subunit ribosomal RNA", at positions 338 to 795 of the family's 1533-position model. The record is from RNAcentral.
CCUACGGGAGGCAGCAGUGGGGGAUAUUGCACAAUGGGGGAAACCCUGAUGCAGCGACGCCGCGUGUGGGAAGACGGUCCUCUGGAUUGUAAACCACUGUCCCCAGGGACGAAGAUGACGGUACCUGGGGAGGAAGCUCCGGCUAACUACGUGCCAGCAGCCGCGGUAAUACGUAGGGAGCAAGCGUUGUCCGGAAUUACUGGGUGAAAAGGGAGCGUAGGCGGGAUGGCAAGUUGGGUGUUAAAUCUACCGGUUCAACUGGUAGUCGCACUCGAAACUGCUAUUCUUGAGUGAAGUAGAGGCAGGCGGAAGUCCUAGUGUAGCGGUGAAAUGCGUAGAUAUUAGGAGGAACACCAGUGGCGAAGGCGGCCUGCUGGGCUUUUACUGACGCUGAGGCUCGAAAGUGUGGGGAGCAAACAGGAUUAGAUACCCGGGUAGUC